AGACCACGGUUUAUAAUUAACGCCAUUAAAAAUAGCCGUUGAAUCAAUCACAUGCAGCUAACAGGGCAGGGAAACUGUUGUGUAACCAGCAACCCAGAAGGAAACGCCAGAAGAAUGUCAUGAUCUAAAACCGUCCCAAGCAGCCGGAGAAGCCGGACCCCCCAAAAGUCUCUUCCAGAAUGUCCUACUCUUCGCUAAAUGCAGGCGACUUGAGACGCCCCGGGCUACAAAGAACAUCCAGUCGCUCCUUGAGCAGCCGGCAGAGCUACCAAACGCCAGAACUGGGCGAGCUGCAGCGCAUGUUGUGGUCACCUGUUCCUUGCCGGGCCAAUGUCAACGAAGUCUGGCCUAACCUUUAUAUUGGAGAUUUGUACAUAGCCCGGGAUAUAGAUCAGCUACGCCGGAUGGGCAUCUCCCACAUUGUGAAUGCGGCUGCGGGACGAUUCCACAUUGAUACGGGAGCCAAAUUCUACCGAGACUUGCCAGUUGAUUACUACGGAGUGGAAGCCGACGACGAUCCCAAGUUUGAUCUCAGCAUUUACUUCUACCCAACGGCUAAAUACAUCAGGGCAGCGCUGAACUCGCCCAGAGGCAAAGUAUUGGUUCACUGUGCCAUGGGGAUAAGCCGCUCAGCCACCCUGGUGCUGGCUUUCUUGAUGAUCUACGAAAACAAGAACCUCGUGGAGGCCUUAAAGAUUGUGCGAGAACACCGAGGAGUCUGCCCAAACACGGGGUUCCUCAGCCAACUUCGGGAGCUUGACCUCCGGUUAACGAGUGAGAAAGGGAAAGCAACAACAGGGAGGCCUUGAAACUUUAGGGAUAAAAUACUCGGAGGGCAGCAAGUCCCAGAGGAACAAUUGUGUCCCCCAGAAAUACCAAAAUUCCAAAGGUGCUGUGAUGUCUACCGGCCCUGCCAUGAAAACUCUCUCGCCAGCGUCUCAUUCAAGAUUAAAGAAACUUCACAUAUCAAGGAGUUUAGGCAAGAAUCCCUGGGGAAACCUGCUGGAAGAAAUGGAUUUGUUUUAUUUGGUCUUCAGAUGGGUGCAUCAGGACACGGGAAUGAAUAAGGAUUUCUUAGUCCAAUGAGCUGCCAGCAAAACGGUAUUUGGAGGUGGUGCCGCCUCCGUUCGCCUUUCUUUCCUCCCACAAAGCUACCAGCAGCACGGAGAACCAGCUGUUCAUUACUUUUCGCUUUCUUCCAGGUAGGGGAAGGUGGCGUCCUUUCUCUUCUUUGUUAUCUGCAUGCUCUACCUGCAAAGCAGACGGGCUGCGUUUCUCAACUUUGAAGACGUGAAGGUGUGUGGACUUCAACUCCCAGAAUUCCCCAGACAGCCUGUCUUGGGACAUGCCGUGACCCAUCAGAAUUUGGGAUGGCCACUAGAGCACCUCUAAUGAUCAUAGAAGAGGAAAAAGAGGCUAGAAAAAAGGAGCUAGUGCUUAUCCCAGAGCCUCUUUUCCCGAGUUCUCCUGGACCUUCCUGGGACACUCAGAUUCCCGCUUUCACACAGUCUCCCCACAGUCUUGGUUUUACUGCUUGCCAAGAAAUACCGGGCAAAUUGAAGAAGGGGCACCCCAGAAAAAGAGUGCGCCCUUCUUCCCUCGGCCCAACUGCCCUGUGCGCUUCCCCCAGGCUGUGGCCCGUCUGUGGGGCUGGGGGGGGUGUGCCUUCCACCCCAGACCGAAGAGGAGCAAGGCAGCUUUUUUGCGAACUCCGUCCAUUCAGUGCUCGGAGACCUCAGGCUCUCCGCUCUUGCUCCAGAACCAGCCUGGCCCGGCCCCGAUUUCAGGCCUGUGGCCAUCGGCUCCUUCCUGUUCCCUCUUCAGUUCCUGGCCGAGCCCGUUCUUCGCCUUCCGGGUUCUGCAACUUCAAUAAGCACUCGGGCUCUGCUCUCCUCUAACUUGGCUCUUGGCUUGGCUGAUUUAUGGCCUCACUUCUCUUCUGCAGGCAAAACCUCCGGAGGCGAGCCAAGGGCAUCAAUAAUGCAACACCAGCACUUAAGGCACCCUGGAUCGAGCUUCCCCAACCUGCUCAGGUCCAGAUGUGCUCGGUUAUCCCUGGCCGGGAAGGAGGGGAGGCAGGAUUUUUUCAUCCUCUUAAGACUGCAUGACUCCCACCACGACCCUAAACACACACACACAAGCAGAGAGACCGUGAAGGCAACACCUCCUCCUUUGUUUAGCAGAGGCUUAUGCAGUCACCUUUUUUUUUUAAAGUUUUGAUCUCUAGGCAUCCACAACAAAGGUUACUACUAUGCUAGUUAGUUUUAAAGUUUUAAUUGUUCAGCCUCUAGCCAUGAAUUUCUAACCUUGUUGGGCUUACUUGAUGAUAAUGAAAAAAACUGUCCUAAUUUUGAUGCUGAGAGAAAGACCAGUCUGCAUAACAACAGAGACUAUUGUUGGAUAUUGGGAAGGAAAGGGAGGAAGGAAGGAAGGAAGAGAGAGAGAGAGAGAGAAAGGAAGAAAGAAAGAAAGAAAGAAAGAAAGAAAGAAAGAAAGAAAGAAAGAAAGAAAGAAAGAAAGAAAGAAAGAAAGAAAGUUCUUGAACUGGACAUCAGACUAGAUUAAACCAAUUUAUAGUUUAAUCUGGUCAAUUUGUCCAUUAUAUAUAUAUAUUUUUAGCACACAGGUAGUCCUUGACUUACAUUCAUUUAGUGACUGUUCAAACUUACAGUGGCACUGAAAAAAGUGACUUAUGACUGGUCCUCACACUUAUGGCCAUUGCAACAUCCAUACAGCCUUUUGGCCACUGGCAUGUACUUAUGACAGUUGCACCUUCCUGGGGCCACAUGAUCACCUUUCAUGACCUUUCCAACUGUCUUCCGACAAGCCAAGUCAAGGGAGGAAGGCAGAUUUGCUUAACAACCUCGUGAUUCACUUAAGAAUUGCAGGAAUGUGCUUAACAGGUGUGGCAAAAAAGGUCACAAAAUGGAGCAAAACUCAUUUAAAAACUGCCUUGCUUAGCAGUGGAAGCUUUGGGAUCAGUUGUGUCAUAAGUUGGACACUACCUGUAUUCAAUAAGAGAAAGGUUGUCUACUUCCAGGGAAAACACAAGACACCACAGACACCCGGGGCCAGGUUUCGUAAGAUCAUCGGGGUGGGGGCCCUUCCCCUAUUUGGAGGGAAGCCGGGCUCAGGGGCUGGCACCAAGUGAGAGGAGACACGGCCAAGAAUCACAGCAAAAACAAGCCACAACUUCACUGGAGACGUGCGAUAUGAAACAACGGUGCAGCUGUCACUUCCGUGUUUCAAAAGUUGAAGAGUCCAGCUCUAAGCCAACAUUACAGGGCACGUGUGAUCUUUCC
This is an RNA transcript of Crotalus tigris (Tiger rattlesnake), 3302 nucleotides long. It is a transcript of the gene named dual specificity protein phosphatase 13-like, with no coding region annotated. The record is from RefSeq and is a predicted model, not a curated record. Lineage: Eukaryota; Metazoa; Chordata; Lepidosauria; Squamata; Viperidae. The transcript is spliced from 5 exons.